AUUCUUUUGUAAUUUAUAAGUGUGAUGACUGAGUGUUCGUUGCCAUGUGUGUGAGAUGUGCCUCCCUCAAACUUUGUUAUGACUUUAGCACAUUACCUACCUGAUA
Otolemur garnettii (small-eared galago) is the source of this 106-nucleotide small nucleolar RNA. NCBI's taxonomy places the organism in Eukaryota, Metazoa, Chordata, Mammalia, Primates, Galagidae. The record is from Ensembl.